Molecule: long non-coding RNA, 6002 nt
Organism: Enhydra lutris kenyoni (northern sea otter)
Lineage: Eukaryota; Metazoa; Chordata; Mammalia; Carnivora; Mustelidae
Exons: 4
Source: RefSeq, a predicted model, not a curated record
CCAUCCUCUGUGGACCUUUGCGGAUCCCCUUCACGAGAAGCAAUCCUCGGAACCACCCUGGCUCCCUCCGGCCAAGCUCUCAUACACUUCAUCCUUCUUGGAUGCUACUUUGGUUAUCGUCUGGCUCUUUGUGUGUACCAUGUCGGGCGAUUUCUCAGAACUUGUUUCAUGUAUCAUUUUCCGCAGCGCUGUGAGGGAGCGUCCCAUGUCUGAGAACUCCGACGAGCUGAGCGAUGUGAGAAGGUGACAGCCUCUUGGAGACUCACGUUAAGCUGAGGACGGAGCGGUGUGCAGAAGACGGCCAUCAGAGGCCGAAUGGAAUGGCCCGUUUGCAUUUAUUUGGAGCAAAAGAAAGGAGAGGCCUGUCAGCCCGGCUCUGCAGGUUAAGUAUUCGUCUGUGCUGUCUUCUUCCUUCUGAUGUCGGAAGCCCUCGCUGUUUACUGAACCCACCCAGCUGCUGGGCCUUCUCCUUCCUUUCCCCGUAGACCCCUGCCCCCGGUCCUCCAUCAGACAGGACGAGAUCAAUUUUCUAGUGCCUCUGGAGAGCUGCGGAGAGGCUAGAUCUCAGUGUUUAGCCCCCGCACAUCGCCCUCACAUUCAGGAGAAGUCGAUUUUUCCUAAGACGGAGCCAAAAGCCCAUGUCCCUCAGUGCCGUGUUCUUAAUGGGCCGAUGGGAAGGGCCCUGCCUGCCCUCGCUGCCCCCAGCAGGGAGGAGAGGCUCUCAGCUGGCUGGCUGGGGGAGGACGGUCCUUGCCAGCAUCUAGCGUGGUUCUCUGCCAAGUUCUAGCUCCAAAUCUCUAGGCCGCUAGGAACCUAGACUAUAUAUAGCAUUGUGCUAAGCAAUUCUUAUCGGACAUGUCUGCCCUCCCCUGCGGGAGAGGAGUCCUUCUCGCAGGGAACCAGAACCUCGAGAGUGUGAGCCAUCAUCUCUAAGGGGCCUUUCAUUCCAGGAAGGGCUAAUUGUCUGAGGCUGGUUCCGGAAUGCCAAGCUUUCUUUCCUUUUCCUUCUUUCAGACGCUGAUAGAUCGGAAAGUCUGAUGUGGGAUGAGGGCCAGGCGGGCCUCAUGGUUCUCGAUGGAUUUGGGGGCUUAGAGGAGGACAGUCUAGAGGCUGAAAGUGUGGCCGACGGCACGGAGUGGCCCGUGUCACCCACCAGCCUCCCACAUGUCUUCUUGGUUUCCUGUUUGCCUUGCUUUGCCCAAGGAUGUCUUUUGACCUCUCAUGCUUCUUUUGGACCUCUUGUCUUCCCUGCCCUCCUCUACCUCUUCCUCCUCCUUCCUUUGAUUUUCUUUAGGCUCUAUGACGGCAGACGUGGCUCCGGGCAUCCGGGAACUGUGUCUGCUCGCCGCCCUCACCCGCCGUUGGGGGUUUCAGGGAAAUCUGCCUUUAGUCAGCCGUCCUCGGGAGGAGCUGGGUGGUGACUGCACAUGUCAUCCUUGGUGGUAGAGGGCAGAACGGGCUGGAUAUUUGCCGCCUCCUCUCGUAGGUGCUGUGGAGCCGCCAGUGUCUGUGGUUCUGUGAUUCCGAGUGCCGAUGGAGGGGGACAUGAUCUGGUCUUGUCAGUGAAUCAUCUCCAGGCUGCUUAUUGGAAACCAGACGGUGCAAGAAAAUGGGAUUUAACCGCUUUGCUGCCUCCCAGGAGCCUCGGAACCAGCAUUCUGGGUGGCAGGAACACUGCCGAGCUGGGCCGGGCUUCCGCCGCCCCUCCCCCUCGCUGGCUGGAGCUGGCGUCAGUCAUGUAAGUAGCCGUGACUCAGCACCCAGCCCGGGCGGGAGGGAGAAGCUGCUGCCUCGCAGGAACCUUCCCAGCGCUCUGGAUUUGAACAUGUCCUGGUCACACAGAACCAGCCGGCGGCAUCAGCUUCCUGGGGGCGUGUGUCUCUUGGCUCGGUGGGUUUGCUUAUGGAUCUCAUAAACCAGGAUUCCUCCUCUGCUCUCCAUUUUCCUCCCAUGUUACUUUGUGGGUGCCAGACCUGGCAUGGGGUUUUUAGGACUUUAAAAGACACAGCAUUAUUUCUAGAAGGCAGUAGAAGCUCUCUUUGAAAUCUCCAGACUGCACUUGAACCCAUGGCCCACGAGUUCUGUCUAUUUAACCCUUGGAUGUUUUUGUUUGGCCUACACAGAGUUUUUGUUAAUUUUUUUUUUUAAUGUAUCUGAUUUGCAUGCCUUUAGACAAAACACAGCCUCUCCGGGUCCCUACUCCUGCCGCGCACGCUGCUGCUGCUUCUGUCCUAGUUCCUGUCCCAGCCCUGGAGCAUUUGAAUGCACUGACACCAGGCCUUGUGAGCCCUCCUGCUUUUCAGAACUGUGGUCCAUUCCGGGGAAGUGCAGGCCCCUGCUCUCAAGAGUCUGGGCUGAGCAGGAAUUAAAGCCACUGUGUUCUGAUUCACUGUGUGGUGACCUUUCCUCCACCCUCAGUCCCUGCCCAGGCAGAGGAGUGUCCUAGGCAGGAGGGCAUGGAAAAACCUCCAAAUAGAAUGUCUGCCCAGAAAUGGAUGGGGGCCUCAGCAGGCUGCCCAAACCCUCUUCCCGCGCACGGUGGCACCUCCCCGAGUUGACAUACCCACCCCCCACGCUGGGCAGUUUUCCUUCCUGGACAGCGCACCAAACCCUUCCCACUGGCCAGUUUGCAUGGGACCAUUAGGCCAGGCCGAGUCCCUGCAGGCUGGGGCUUCGACGGGCUGCCUUCCUACAGAUCGAGGUGGCCAUCGAGCUGGGUGCCAGGGAGCCCAAGCCCCUUCCAGCCCCCAUCCAACCACCCCGCUAUACCCAGCUCGGGAACGAAAACACCAGCUGGCUUCAGGUAAGUGAGUCAUUGCUUGGCAGACUUUGUGAGAGAAGCCUGGUUCUUUUGGGAGGGCUGAGACCUGCAUAGACUCUUGUAUCCAUUGGGUGGAGGAGCAGAGGGUUUUGGUACUAAGAUUACUUUCUUUCCCUCUUCUUGUGUUAGAGUGUUUAUGAUGAUGUGUUCUGAAUGAUGGCUGUCUUUCUCCAGAGAACUGAGUAUCGUAGAACUCGGGCACUGUGAGCCCAAACUCUGGGUCGUGGUCCUUAGUUCCCUCAGUGACAGUUGGUCCUCUGCAAUGCCCUCCCGCCCCGAACUCUGGCCUGAUGCUCCCUGGGUAGCAGGAGAGACAGUCAUUAAUCACCCUGAUGACCACGUGACAUCUGUAUGUCCUGAAGGACAAGAACUAGGUGCUGUGAGAGGGUGUGACAGAAUGCUUGGCUCACCCGGAAAGCUUCAGGUGACCUGCGUUACCUGGGGGAGGGUUGAUGCGUGGUUGCUCUGGGAGGGUAGACAGAGAAUGUUCCAGAAAGAGGGAGCAAUGUAUGCAGAGGCCUGCUGGGGGAGGACAGGGGCCGUCUGGAUGACUGUUUACCUGUGUGACAACACGCUGGGAAAAGUUCUGUGGAUACUGGCAGUUGGAAGUGGCUAAGAAGGAAGAGUCCACCUGGGGUCAGAGGCAGAAAAGCUGAGAAAGACCAAAUGUAGAGCUCCAACCACCUCAUGUUAUAGGAUCCCAUGAAAAUGACUAUCCUUUAUCAGUAACUUCCUGACCUUACAACCCUGCAAGUUACCUGCUUCCUGGGGCCCAGCUGUUGACUGCAGGUGUCCUUGAUCAGAGCUGCUGCCCUGCUUCCUAUCAGUGGCUGAGGCCGUGCAAAGGCCCUGGGCUCCGAGCCCAGUGCUAGGGUCAGAAUCUGGAGUCCAGCACAGGCAUCGUGGGCAGUUCCUCUCCAGCACCUUCCCCUACCACAGCCAUGCUAUGAGUGCGGGAGGACACAGGAGGCUAGCUCCCAGCCCCGGGACCCCUGCAGAACCAGGGGGCCUGUCUCACCCCAAGUUAAACAUGUUGUCAGUCACAUCCACGGCCAUGUACAAACAUUGCCUAGGACUACCCACCUCCCCGCCCACGCCCCGCCUCAACCUUGCUCACAGUUGAGUUCAAGAACAGAAUGAGACUGUGGACCAGCCUGGAGCAGGCACAGUAGGCCCAGGAGCAGUAGCACAGGACUGUGGGGUUAGAUCUGGGAUCUGCACCAUGUGUUGGUCACAUGGCCGUGGGCGAGUUACUAAAGCAUAAGGAGCAUUUUCUCCAGCAGGCGUGGGAACAGUACAUGCUUCCCGGGACUGACACGGUUAAACCACACACCUCAGUGUUCAAAUUUUAUUUCUUCCUCUUUCCUGGAGCAGUGCAUGCUGUCAUUUCCAGGAGCUACAAUAAAUAUGGGCCUGUCUCUACCACGGAGCUGGUAGCCCGAAAGGUACAGAUUCCACUCUCUCUUUCCUUGGUUGUGCUGUCCCAGGAAAAUACAUGCUUUCUCAGCUUCAAACAACCAGAAACAACCCAUUUAGGAGAUGAGAAAUCUAAUUUGAAGACGAUGCAAAUCUUAUUUUUCAGACAAAUUCUGAAAACAUACACACACACAACUCCGUUCUCCUGUUAGAGGAUUAUCUACUUAACACAGCUUUAGAACAUCACAUUUUUUUGUGUCAGGGCUGAGAAUAAGUAAGAGUGCCAAUGUUCUGAGCCUUACGUAAGGCCGGGAAGGAGGAGCCUGAGCUCUUUCUGAGGAAGGCGUAUGGAAGGGCUGCCCAGGGCGGGGUGAAACCCCGCUCUGCGUACUGGAUAGAGCCUGGUGGCAGACAGGGGGCUUGUUUCCUGAUGAGGUGAGAUAGGAUCGGAAAGCCCUUUGCGCACUGUGAAAUAUUUAAUACAGCAGGAUGGUGCUAAUGAGGCUAUCAGUGCAUUUUAAUAAUAGCUCUGGGAGACUUGAUUUUAUCCUAUAGCUAAUACUCUGUUACGACCCGUUGUGGAAUUAAACUGCAUUAACUAGACUUCGUGAGUUGUGUAUGGCCACGGGGUGUGUGAAGCCUCGCCGCGCCGUCAGCCGUCCUGCAGCACCCCUGGGGAGCUCUUCGCUGGGCCUUUCUCACGGUUGGUGACGUCACGUCCCAAGUGGAACCACAAGAAGACCUCCCUCCCUCCUCGGGGCAGAGCCUGCGGCUUCCGAUGUCAUCUUCCUCCUUUCUUCAAUGAGAUCCUCUUCUUCUGGAAGCUGGUUUCACAUGGUGGCUUAGAUUUUUCCAUCUUUGUAUCUAGCACCAUUUGAAAUCAGUGUUUUAGGAGUAAGAAUUGCAGCGCAGCGAAGGGCCACCAGCAGAGGAGCCUCCGCGGGUGGGAAGGGCGCCCUCCGCCUGCCACCUGAGCCGGCUCAAGAAAGGAAGACCUUGCAGAAGAGGAGGCACCCUCGCGUAUGUGGGCUGUGCAGGGGUGACGGCGCGGGGCGGGUGUGAUGUUUAAAAAAAAAUUCCGCAUCUGAGCAGGGGCAGACGCGGUGCCGGCUCCUAGCAGCCCCCGGGGCUCACCUGCCCAUCGGGCCUUGGAACACAGAGGUGGGGCCAUGCUCCAUGCGGAGCUCGAUUGUACCAGGGGAGGGGCGAGGCUGUGUACCCGGAGGACGGUCCCAUCCGCGUCAGCACUGCGCCUGCUCCAGACGCCCGGGAACAUUCCGCUGCUGUGGCAGUGCGGCUGGAAUCGGACUCGCCACCUGCAAGGUCAUGUGCGGGACCCCUGGGAGCACCAACGGACCCAUCUCUUACACAGGCUGACCGAUUUCUCCUGGUGUUCAGAGUCUGUUUUUGUCUAGCACCAUUUGAAAUCGGUUAUGAUGUAGGGGGAAAAGCAGCGGCCCCGAAGCCUCGUGCCGGCUCUGGGGAGCCACCGCCUGCGGUUUCCUGGAGGACCCACGGGCAGAGAGUGCGCAAGGACCACCGCGCGCCGUUUCCCCUAACUUCUUUAACUGCAUUUAUGAUCCCUUACUGCAGAGGUAAGAGAGAACCGAAUGUAUUUUGAGAAAUGGCUGUGCUGUAUCUGGUGUCCGGGUUGCAUGGUGCUGGAAGGUGGUAGGUGCCACCCAUGCGAUCAGUGGUUGCUGUUGAAUUCUCCUUCUGUGACGGGUCUGUUGGUGCUCCUGCCUGAAUAAAUAUUUCCCUCUAG